UCGUAGCAAUUGGCCAGCUUCGUUGUGGGAUUUAACCUGUCGACACAUAGCUGACGACAGCCACGUGCACUCCCAAACUUCGACUUCCAGACAUGGCCGCGGUAAAUUUUUUGCUGUAGCCCGCACUAUCCACAUCAGCUUCAGGGUCCCUGUCACUUUCUUUGAGUUUUAAUCUGCGACCGUACUCCCCAGGCGGUCAACUAGCUGCCGGGGCCUUCGGGCCUUGGUAGCGCAGCUAACGCGUGAAGUUGACCGCCCGGGGAGUACGGUCGCAAGAUUAAAACUCAAAGGAAUUGGACGGGACCGCACAAGCGGUGGAUGAUGUGGAUUAAUUUAGAUGCAACGCGAAAACCUUACCUACCCUUGACAUGUCUGGAAUCCCGAAGAGAUUUGGGAGUGUCGCAAGAGAACCGGAACACAGGUGCUGCAUGGCUGUCGUCAGCUCGUGUCGUGAGAUGUUGGGUUAAGUCCCGCAACGAGCGGCAACCCUUGUCAUUAGUUGCUACGAAAGGGCACUCUUAAUGAGACUGCCGGUGACAAACCGAGGAAGGUGGGGAUGACGUCAAGUCCUCAUGGCCCUUAUGGGUAGGGCUUCACACGUCAUACAAUGGUCGGGACAGAGGGUCGCCAACCCGCGAGGGGGAGCCAAUCCCAGAAACCCGAUCAGUCCGAAUGCAGUCUGCACCCGACUGCGUGAAGUCGGAAUCAGUGGGGGUAAUCGCGGAUCAGCAUGUCGCGGUGAAUACGUUCCUGAGUCUUGUACACACCGCCCGUCACACCAUGGGAGUGGGCUUUACCAGAAGUAGUUAGCCUAACCGUAAGGAGGGCGAUUACCACGGUAGGAUUCAUGACUGGGGUGAAGUCGUAACAAGGCAG
This 876-nucleotide unclassified non-coding RNA is filed under the name uncultured Bordetella sp. RNAcentral describes it as "partial 16S-23S ribosomal RNA intergenic spacer". It matches the Rfam family "Bacterial small subunit ribosomal RNA", at positions 642 to 1499 of the family's 1533-position model. Lineage: Bacteria; Pseudomonadati; Pseudomonadota; Betaproteobacteria; Burkholderiales; Alcaligenaceae. The record is from RNAcentral.